AUAGGUGGGGGUGCAAAGAAAGCCAGGAGUUUUGCCUAGAAGCAGCCACCCUUUAAAGAGUGCGUGAUAGCUCAUUGAUCGAGCGCCCUUGUGUUGAAGAUGAACGGCGCUAA
RNAcentral lists this non-coding RNA (113 nucleotides) under Setaria italica (foxtail millet). RNAcentral's name for it is "Bacterial large subunit ribosomal RNA". It matches the Rfam family "Bacterial large subunit ribosomal RNA", at positions 1071 to 1184 of the family's 2925-position model. The record is from Rfam by way of RNAcentral. Lineage: Eukaryota; Viridiplantae; Streptophyta; Magnoliopsida; Poales; Poaceae.